UUGCUUGUUGGGGUUGUAGGACACUCUAUACGGAGUUACAAAGGACGACAUUAGACGAAUCAUCUGGAAAGAUGAAUCAAAGAAGGUAAUAAUCCUGUAGUCGAAAAUGUUGUCUCUCUUGAGUGGAUCCUGAGUACGACGGAGCACGUGAAAUUCCGUCGGAAUCUGGGAGGACCAUCUCCUAAGGCUAAAUACUCUCUAGUGACCGAUAGUGAACCAGUACCGUGAGGGAAAGGUGAAAAGCACCCCGGAAGGGGAGUGAAAUAGAACCUGAAACCGUGUGCUUACAAGUAGUCAGAGCCCGUUAAUGGGUGAUGGCGUGCCUUUUGUAGAAUGAACCGGCGAGUUACGAUUUGAUGCAAGGUUAAGCAGUAAAUGUGGAGCCGUAGCGAAAGCGAGUCUGAAUAGGGCGUUUAGUAUUUGGUCGUAGACCCGAAACCAGGUGAUCUACCCUUGGUCAGGUUGAAGUUCAGGUAACACUGAAUGGAGGACCGAACCGACUUACGUUGAAAAGUGAGCGGAUGAACUGAGGGUAGCGGAGAAAUUCCAAUCGAACCUGGAGAUAGCUGGUUCUCUCCGAAAUAGCUUUAGGGCUAGCCUCAAGUGAUGAUUAUUGGAGGUAGAGCACUGUUUGGACGAGGGGCCCCUCUCGGGUUACCGAAUUCAGACAAACUCCGAAUGCCAAUUAAUUUAACUUGGGAGUCAGAACAUGGGUGAUAAGGUCCGUGUUCGAAAGGGAAACAGCCCAGACCACCAGCUAAGGUCCCAAAAUAUAUGUUAAGUGGAAAAGGAUGUGGCGUUGCCCAGACAACUAGGAUGUUGGCUUAGAAGCAGCCAUCAUUUAAAGAGUGCGUAAUAGCUCACUAGUCGAGUGACACUGCGCCGAAAAUGUACCGGGGCUAAACAUAUUACCGAAGCUGUGGAUUGUCCUUUGGACAAUGGUAGGAGAGCGUUCUAAGGGCGUUGAAGCAUGAUCGUAAGGACAUGUGGAGCGCUUAGAAGUGAGAAUGCCGGUGUGAGUAGCGAAAGACGGGUGAGAAUCCCGUCCACCGAUUGACUAAGGUUUCCAGAGGAAGGCUCGUCCGCUCUGGGUUAGUCGGGUCCUAAGCUGAGGCCGACAGGCGUAGGCGAUGGAUAACAGGUUGAUAUUCCUGUACCACCUAUAAUCGUUUUAAUCGAUGGGGGGACGCAGUAGGAUAGGCGAAGCGUGCGAUUGGAUUGCACGUCUAAGCAGUAAGGCUGAGUAUUAGGCAAAUCCGGUACUCGUUAAGGCUGAGCUGUGAUGGGGAGAAGACAUUGUGUCUUCGAGUCGUUGAUUUCACACUGCCGAGAAAAGCCUCUAGAUAGAAAAUAGGUGCCCGUACCGCAAACCGACACAGGUAGUCAAGAUGAGAAUUCUAAGGUGAGCGAGCGAACUCUCGUUAAGGAACUCGGCAAAAUGACCCCGUAACUUCGGGAGAAGGGGUGCUCUUUAGGGUUAACGCCCAGAAGAGCCGCAGUGAAUAGGCCCAAGCGACUGUUUAUCAAAAACACAGGUCUCUGCUAAACCGUAAGGUGAUGUAUAGGGGCUGACGCCUGCCCGGUGCUGGAAGGUUAAGAGGAGUGGUUAGCUUCUGCGAAGCUACGAAUCGAAGCCCCAGUAAACGGCGGCCGUAACUAUAACGGUCCUAAGGUAGCGAAAUUCCUUGUCGGGUAAGUUCCGACCCGCACGAAAGGCGUAACGAUUUGGGCACUGUCUCAACGAGAGACUCGGUGAAAUCAUAGUACCUGUGAAGAUGCAGGUUACCCGCGACAGGACGGAAAGACCCCGUGGAGCUUUACUGUAGCCUGAUAUUGAAAUUCGGCACAGCUUGUACAGGAUAGGUAGGAGCCUUUGAAACGUGAGCGCUAGCUUACGUGGAGGCGCUGGUGGG
This 1913-nucleotide ribosomal RNA is filed under the name Staphylococcus aureus. RNAcentral describes it as "partial 23S ribosomal RNA". It matches the Rfam family "Bacterial large subunit ribosomal RNA", at positions 285 to 2196 of the family's 2925-position model. The record is from RNAcentral. Lineage: Bacteria; Bacillati; Bacillota; Bacilli; Caryophanales; Staphylococcaceae.